RNAcentral lists this ribosomal RNA (500 nucleotides) under uncultured archaeon. RNAcentral's name for it is "bacterial SSU rRNA". It matches the Rfam family "Archaeal small subunit ribosomal RNA", at positions 378 to 879 of the family's 1478-position model. The record is from RNAcentral.
AUCCCAAGUGCUUGCACGUAAGUGUAAGCUGUUUCUUUGUUUAAAACGCAUAGAGAGUAAGGGCUGGGUAAGACGGGUGCCAGCCGCCGCGGUAAUACCUGCAGCUCAAGUGGUGGCCGCUAUUAUUGGGCCUAAAACGUCCGUAGCCGGUUUAUUAAAUGCCUGGGUAAAUCGUGUAGCUUAACUAUACGAAUUCCGGGUAGACUGAUAAACUUGAGAUCGGGAGAAGUUAGAGGUACUCCUGGGGUAGAGGUGAAAUUCUGUAAUCCUAGGGGGACCACCAGUGGCGAAGGCGUCUGACUAGAACGGGUCUGACGGUGAGGGACGAAGCCCUGGGGCGCAAACCGGAUUAGAUACCCGGGUAGUCCAGGGUGUAAACGCUGCUUGCUUGAUGUUAGUCGGGCUCCGAGCCCGAUUAGUGUCGGAGAGAAGUUGUUAAGCAAGCUGCCUGGGAAGUACGGUCGCAAGACUGAAACUUAAAGGAAUUGGCGGGGGAGCAG